CGUAGGCGGGACAGCAAGUCAGGAGUGAAAUACCGAGGCUCAACCUCGGGGCUGCUUUUGAAACUGUUGUUCUUGAGUAUCGGAGAGGAAAGCGGAAUUCCCAGUGUAGCGGUGAAAUGCGUAGAUAUUGGGAGGAACACCAGUGGCGAAGGCGGCUUUCUGGACGACAACUGACGCUGAGGCGCGAAAGUGUGGGGAGCAAACAGGAUUAGAUACCCUGGUAGUCCACACCGUAAACGAUGGAUACUAGGUGUAGGAGGUAUCGACUCCUUCUGUGCCGCAGUAAACACAAUAAGUAUCCCACCUGGGGAGUACGACCGCAAGGUUGAAACUCAAAGGAAUUGACGGGGGCCCGCACAAGCAGUGGAGUAUGUGGAUUAAUUCGAAGCAACGCGAAGAACCUUACCUGGUCUUGACAUCCCUCUGACCGCUCUAGAGAUAGAGUUUUCCUUCGGGACAGAGGUGACAGGUGGUGCAUGGUUGUCGUCAGCUCGUGUCGUGAGAUGUUGGGUUAAGUCCCGCAACGAGCGCAACCCCUAUUGUUAGUUGCCAGCAUUGAGUUGGGCACUCUAGCAAGACUGCCGGUGACAAAUCGGAGGAAGGUGGGGACGACGUCAAAUCAUCAUGCCCCUUAUGACCAGGGCCUCACACGUACUACAAUGGCUGAUAACAAAGUGCAGCAAAACCGCAAGGUGGAGCGAAUCACAAAAUUCAGUCUCAGUUCGGAUUGUGGGCUGCAACCCGCCCACAUGAAGUUGGAAUUGCUAGUAA
This 771-nucleotide ribosomal RNA is filed under the name uncultured Bacillota bacterium. RNAcentral describes it as "bacterial SSU rRNA". It matches the Rfam family "Bacterial small subunit ribosomal RNA", at positions 570 to 1341 of the family's 1533-position model. The record is from RNAcentral. Lineage: Bacteria; Bacillati; Bacillota.